UAGCAGACAGUGUCAGGCCCAGCUGGACACAAGGAGCAGGCAGUACCUUCCUUAUUUGGAGUAGACAGACAAGUCCAGGAGCUCCUUGACCCUGAAAUUCACAUCAUUCUUUUGUAAAUGCAGUCCUGUUUCUGAGGAGGCAUCCCGUCCGGUUGCUUGUAGAGACCUUUUAAAGUUGACAGCUCUUGGGUUCAGCCUCUGUUUUCCAACCUUGACACAGAAGACAUAGUGGCUCUCCUUCUGGAACAAUCUCUCACCGCCACCGCCAUCCCCUCUCCUCUGCUCCCAGCUGGCAGACAUCCAUGCCAUGAUUGUUUAUGUAACAGCCAUCACGGGCCUGGGAACAGCAUCACAAGGAGAAACUCCAUGACAACCAACCACUCGCAUUUGGGUCAUCGAAGAUAUGGACCACGGAGGACUUUCUGUGACACGUUCACCCUCUUACUCAUUUGUGGAGCCCACAGUUUGAUCAGCCUGGGAACUGGGUCUUGAAUGGAAGACCAGGGCACUUGUGGUGGCUUUGUUAUCAGAGUCUGCUUUUGCAUAGGGAUGCUCCACGCCAGGUUACCUUUGCCUGAACUCCACCAGAAGUGAAAAAAAAAAAACCCCACCA
Ochotona curzoniae (black-lipped pika) is the source of this 613-nucleotide long non-coding RNA. RefSeq lists it as uncharacterized. The record is from RefSeq and is a predicted model, not a curated record. NCBI's taxonomy places the organism in Eukaryota, Metazoa, Chordata, Mammalia, Lagomorpha, Ochotonidae. The transcript has 2 exons.